CAAUGUGCACUCACGAAAAGACCACUUCAAUUAGAACAUCGAAUAAGCCAAGAAAUCUAGGGCGAUCAUUCUUUGAGUGUCCAAAGUACAAUACAAAAGGGCUACCACACUACAACUAUUUCAAAUGGGCAGACAGCAGUGAGGAAAGAGAAAAAGAAUUUGUGAAGAUAGAAAUUGAGUUGUUAAGGAAGAAGGAAAGUUUCGAAAAA
Long non-coding RNA from Juglans microcarpa x Juglans regia, 209 nucleotides. RefSeq lists it as uncharacterized. The record is from RefSeq and is a predicted model, not a curated record. The transcript has 2 exons. Lineage: Eukaryota; Viridiplantae; Streptophyta; Magnoliopsida; Fagales; Juglandaceae.